GCAUCCCAAACCCCUGUGAACAUACCUUAAUGUUGCCUCGGCGGAUCAGCCCGCGCCCCGUAAAACGGGACGGCCCGCCAGAGGACCCAAACUCUAAUGUUUCUUAUUGUAACUUCUGAGUAAAACAAACAAAUAAAUCAAAACUUUCAACAACGGAUCUCUUGGUUCUGGCAUCGAUGAAGAACGCAGCAAAAUGCGAUAAGUAAUGUGAAUUGCAGAAUUCAGUGAAUCAUCGAAUCUUUGAACGCACAUUGCGCCCGCUGGUAUUCCGGCGGGCAUGCCUGUUCGAGCGUCAUUUCAACCCUCAAGCCCUCGGGUUUGGUGUUGGGGAUCGGCUCUGCCUUCUGGCGGUGCCGCCCCCGAAAUACAUUGGCGGUCUCGCUGCAGCCUCCAUUGCGUAGUAGCUAACACCUCGCAACUGGAACGCGGCGCGGCCAUGCCGUAAAACCCCAACUUCUGAAUGUUGACCUCGGAUCAGGA
RNAcentral lists this ribosomal RNA (480 nucleotides) under Fusarium sp. F31. RNAcentral describes it as "eukaryotic LSU rRNA". The stretch from base 142 to 295 matches the Rfam family "5.8S ribosomal RNA". Lineage: Eukaryota; Fungi; Ascomycota; Sordariomycetes; Hypocreales; Nectriaceae. The record is from RNAcentral.